GAUGAACGCUAGCGGCAGGCCUAAUACAUGCAAGCCGAACGGCAAGUUUGAUAGCAAUAUUGGACCUAGAGUGGCGCAAGGGUGCGUAACACGUAUGCAACCUGCCCGCGACAGGAGGAUAGCUCCCCGAAAGGGGAAUUAACCCUCCAUAACACCAUGAGAAGGCAUCUGAUUAUGGUUAAACCGCAAGGGGUCGCGGAUGGGCAUGCGGUUGAUUAGCUAGUUGGCGGGGUAAAGGCCCACCAAGGCGGUGAUCAAUAGGGGUUCUGAGAGGAAGGUCCCGCAAGCUGGAACGGAGAUACGGGGCAGACUACUACGGGAGGAAGCAGUAGGGAAUAUGGGACAAUGGUUGCAAGACUGAUCCAGCAAUGCCGAGUGCAGGAAGAAGGCUGUCUGGGUCGUAAACUGCUUUUGCCUGUGGAUAAAAUACCCGUGCGCGGGGAAUUGAAGGUAACAGGGGAAUAAGCAACGGCUAACUACGUG
Molecule: ribosomal RNA, 483 nt
Filed under: uncultured bacterium
Lineage: Bacteria
Description: partial 16S ribosomal RNA
Rfam family: Bacterial small subunit ribosomal RNA
Source: RNAcentral